This 484-nucleotide ribosomal RNA is filed under the name uncultured bacterium. Its description in RNAcentral is "partial 16S ribosomal RNA". It matches the Rfam family "Bacterial small subunit ribosomal RNA", at positions 30 to 507 of the family's 1533-position model. The record is from RNAcentral.
AUUGAACGCUGGCGGCAGGCCUAACACAUGCAAGUCGAGCGGAUGAAGGGAGCUUGCUCCUGGAUUCAGCGGCGGACGGGUGAGUAAUGCCUAGGAAUCUGCCUGGUAGUGGGGGAUAACGUCCGGAAACGGGCGCUAAUACCGCAUACGUCCUGAGGGAGAAAGUGGGGGAUCUUCGGACCUCACGCUAUCAGAUGAGCCUAGGUCGGAUUAGCUAGUUGGUGGGGUAAAGGCCUACCAAGGCGACGAUCCGUAACUGGUCUGAGAGGAUGAUCAGACACACUGGAACUGAGACACGGUCCAGACUCCUACGGGAGGCAGCAGUGGGGAAUAUUGGACAGUGGGCGAAAGCCUGAUCCAGCCAUGCCGCGUGUGUGAAGAAGGUCUUCGGAUUGUAAAGCACUUUAAGUUGGGAGGAAGGGCAGUAAGUUAAUACCUUGCUGUUUUGACGUUACCAACAGAAUAAGCACCGGCUAACUUCGUG